GAUUUCUGGUUGGAUGUGUUUAGCCCGCCAUGGUUUCAUGUGUGAGUGCUGAUACUCAUCUCCCAUCCUUCUAGACAGCCCCUCCUCUCUUCAUUGAGGUGGAGUGGAAUUCUAGAUCUUUUACUUUGAAAAAAUUAGAGUGUUUCAAGCAGGCAAUUUGCUAUGAAUACAUUAGCAUGGAAUAAUAAUCUAGGACUUCGGUUCUAUUUUGUUGGUUUCUAUAACUGAAGUAAUGAUUGAUAGGGAUAGUUGGGGGUGCUAGUAUUGGCCGGUCAGAGGUGAAAUUCUUGGAUUCGGUCAAGACUAACUUAUGCGAAAGCAUU
Molecule: ribosomal RNA, 323 nt
Filed under: uncultured Protaspa
Lineage: Eukaryota; Cercozoa; Thecofilosea; Cryomonadida
Description: SSU rRNA
Rfam family: Eukaryotic small subunit ribosomal RNA
Source: RNAcentral